UUAGAAAGUAGUUUAAAAGGUAAAACAAAGAAGUUUGAUUUCUUUAACAUAAGUUCAAUCCUUGUCUUUCUAAUC
Molecule: transfer RNA, 75 nt
Filed under: Cheiraster sp. SS-2022
Lineage: Eukaryota; Metazoa; Echinodermata; Asteroidea; Notomyotida; Benthopectinidae
Description: tRNA-Gln
Rfam family: tRNA
About the family: Transfer RNA (tRNA) molecules are approximately 80 nucleotides in length.
Source: RNAcentral